Molecule: long non-coding RNA, 951 nt
Organism: Acinonyx jubatus (cheetah)
Lineage: Eukaryota; Metazoa; Chordata; Mammalia; Carnivora; Felidae
Exons: 4
Source: RefSeq, a predicted model, not a curated record
CCUCCUCCUCCAGGGAGGCCGGGUCAUCCCGACAGCUGACGGCUCGGACUUGGCACAGCUCUUCCCAAUCAGGGAGGCCUUCCUGGCCCUGGAGCUACGGAACGCUCUGUGUUCUAGAAUCUUCCUCCCUCUCCGCCCAGCGCCUUGGUUCUGGGGCUCUGUCCUCGCCAGACCGCUCCCGGGCCCACAGGGGUCAGGCUGUGUUUCCGUAGCCCCACGGGGCUCCACCGACGGUCCGGUCCCGCUUCCCGGCUCCCCUGCCCACUAAACCUCUCCACAGCAGCCCUCAUCAUUCAGAUCCCAAGUGUCGCCUCUUACCAGAAGCCUUCCCUGAUCACCCCUUCAGAGCAGCCAGACCCCCGCUGUGACAACUUUCUGCCCUUUGAAAGCACCCAGUUCAGCUCUUUGUUUGCUGGCUGACCACAUCCCGCCCCCCCAGACAUCCACGAGGAAAUGCGACAUUCCUGAGGGCGGAUGUUCCUGUCUUAUGUUGUGCGGUGACGGUGACGCCCUCCCAGCCCAUAGGAGGUGCUCCACAAACACCUGUCGAUUUUCCCACUCGUCCGGGCUGCUGUGAGCCCAGGAACUGAAAAUCACCCUCUAAUUUUGUAAGGAAGUCAUCUGUAACCUUCCGGGUUCCUGUAACUGCUUUACACGUAUUGCACAGAAAAACGAGACGACCCCUCGUUGGCUCAGGAGCCAAAGAAAAGUUAAGUCACUCAUCUGGGGGGGCCACCAGGGCCGAGGGCAGAGGGCACGAAGACCAUGGCAAAUAACCCUCAGCUGCUCCCCGAGAAUGAACCACCCCCACUCCGAGUCCAAUCUCCUCCCAGAGAGAAACUCUCAGCGACACUGGAAUCGCAGUCCGAGAACGCCACCUCGGGACCGUGACUCCCCAUGGUGUCUCUUGCUCGCUCUCGUUACAAAAUUUCUUAAAGGAAAAAUAAAGAA